CCUUUUGUAUAAUGGGUCAGCGACUUAUAUUCUGUAGCAAGGUUAACCGAAUAGGGGAGCCGAAGGGAAACCGAGUCUUAACUGGGCGUUAAGUUGCAGGGUAUAGACCCGAAACCCGGUGAUCUAGCCAUGGGCAGGUUGAAGGUUGGGUAACACUAACUGGAGGACCGAACCGACUAAUGUUGAAAAAUUAGCGGAUGACUUGUGGCUGGGGGUGAAAGGCCAAUCAAACCGGGAGAUAGCUGGUUCUCCCCGAAAGCUAUUUAGGUAGCGCCUCGUGAAUUCAUCUCCGGGGGUAGAGCACUGUUUCGGCAAGGGGGUCAUCCCGACUUACCAACCCGAUGCAAACUGCGAAUACCGGAGAAUGUUAUCACGGGAGACACACGGCGGGUGCUAACGUCCGUCGUGAAGAGGGAAACAACCCAGACCGCCAGCUAAGGUCCCAAAGUCAUGGUUAAGUGGGAAACGAUGUGGGAAGGCCCAGACAGCCAGGAUGUUGGCUUAGAAGCAGCCAUCAUUUAAAGAAAGCGUAAUAGCUCACUGGUCGAGUCGGCCUGCGCGGAAGAUGUAACGGGGCUAAACCAUGCACCGAAGCUGCGGCAGCGACACUAUGUGUUGUUGGGUAGGGGAGCGUUCUGUAAGCCUGUGAAGGUGUGCUGUGAGGCAUGCUGGAGGUAUCAGAAGUGCGAAUGCUGACAUAAGUAACGAUAAAGCGGGUGAAAAGCCCGCUCGCCGGAAGACCAAGGGUUCCUGUCCAACGUUAAUCGGGGCAGGGUGAGUCGACCCCUAAGGCGAGGCCGAAAGGCGUAGUCGAUGGGAAACAGGUUAAUAUUCCUGUACUUGGUGUUACUGCGAAGGGGGGACGGAGAAGGCUAUGUUGGCCGGGCGACGGUUGUCCCGGUUUAAGCGUGUAGGCUGGUUUUCCAGG
This 928-nucleotide ribosomal RNA is filed under the name Escherichia coli. RNAcentral's name for it is "partial 23S ribosomal RNA". It matches the Rfam family "Bacterial large subunit ribosomal RNA", at positions 604 to 1536 of the family's 2925-position model. Lineage: Bacteria; Pseudomonadati; Pseudomonadota; Gammaproteobacteria; Enterobacterales; Enterobacteriaceae. The record is from RNAcentral.